AUACUUACCUGGCUGGGGAGAUACCAUGAUCAUGAAGGUGAUUUCCCCAGGGCAUUGCAUUGCACUCCAGAUGUGCUGACCCCUACGUUUUCCCCAAAUGCGGGAAACUCGACUACAUAAUUUGUGGUAGUGGGGGACAGCAUUCGCGCUCUCCCAAA
Molecule: small nuclear RNA, 158 nt
Filed under: Echinops telfairi (small Madagascar hedgehog)
Lineage: Eukaryota; Metazoa; Chordata; Mammalia; Afrosoricida; Tenrecidae
Description: U1 spliceosomal RNA (ENSETEG00000021517.1)
Rfam family: U1 spliceosomal RNA
About the family: U1 is a small nuclear RNA (snRNA) component of the spliceosome (involved in pre-mRNA splicing). Its 5' end forms complementary base pairs with the 5' splice junction, thus defining the 5' donor site of an intron. There are significant differences in sequence and secondary structure between metazoan and yeast U1 snRNAs, the latter being much longer (568 nucleotides as compared to 164 nucleotides in human).
Source: RNAcentral